AAAUAUGAAGCAAGUUGCAUAUUAGUUUCGACCUAAUACUUUAAGGUAUUUAUUAUAUUACCCAUAUUUU
RNAcentral lists this transfer RNA (70 nucleotides) under Anallacta methanoides. Its description in RNAcentral is "tRNA-Arg". The record is from RNAcentral. Lineage: Eukaryota; Metazoa; Arthropoda; Insecta; Blattodea; Blattellidae.